CAACCGGUCGUCUAGCCCGGUCAAGGAUGGCGGCCUCUCGAGCCGCAGACCCGGGUUCAAAUCCCGGCCGGGGCACCA
Molecule: transfer RNA, 78 nt
Filed under: Thermoprotei archaeon
Lineage: Archaea; Thermoproteati; Thermoproteota; Thermoprotei
Description: tRNA-Glu
Rfam family: tRNA (bases 4-71)
About the family: Transfer RNA (tRNA) molecules are approximately 80 nucleotides in length. Their secondary structure includes four short double-helical elements and three loops (D, anti-codon, and T loops).
Source: RNAcentral